CAACUUGCUCUUCUUCUACUAAAUUAAAGAUUCGUGUGGAGAUUCUGUCGAUAUAAUCAUAUAUUUAUAUCUGCUCUUUCUUAAAAUGGAGACGUCCAUCUCUGAGACAACAAAAACGUAAAUAAAUGGAAGAUAAAAGCAAGAAAGACAACCCUAAUAAAGGAGUCAGGACUAAAACUAGUAAUUAUUUCCCCUUAUUUCAUGAUUGUCGAAUGUAGUGCGAGUUAUAAAUAGACAAUUUUUCCCUUAAUUUUUUUCUCCCCUCUUCCUGCAUUUUUGGGUUGACUUUUUGGUCUAGAAUUGGAGAAAAGGGAUCAAAUUUGCAAUUUCAUAGCAGUUUUGGGUAAUACUGAUGAUAUUACAGCGGAGGGAUAGGGGUUGUAAAGUGUCUUUCUGCAGAGCAAUCAUUGUGUCGGAAGUGAGAUUUUCACCCCUGUCAACUUCAAAUCCGUGUAGCAAAAAAUCUAAACGGUCAACCCCCUACAAAAUUAUGAUGAGGAGAUUGCCAAAUGUUGUCCCCAUUGUGCCUAUAAAGAUUGGAACCAACGGAAUGUUGAGCAAAAAGCUACAGCCUGUGAUGUUACAGUCAUUUAACAUUGAAGUCAAUGGGCAAAUAAUUGCUAGUCUGACUCCUGAUGAUAUAAAGAAGCAUGGCCGACUCGGGAUGUUGAUAUUUUUUCAACGGCUUAUUUCCUGAAGUUUUGAAUGGAAAGUGUCAGAAAUGGUGCCAGGGCAAUGUUUCAUAGAGUGGAAUGAUUGACCUCAACACAAGUAUUAAAAAAAAAAGAAGCAAAACAGGUCUACAUCUCAAAACCUGAUCUCUUCCUGGACUGGCUUUAGGAGAACGAUGAUGCAUAUCAAUUUCAUCCCUGAUCUCUAUGACACCUGUGGUGGAAGUGGAGGGCAAAUCGUAAUCAGUUUGGGUUCCAGCCCCGAGGACCUCUGUAAACUUUGCUUUUUGGUGAUGACUUAAUUUCCGAGCUUGAAAAGGACGCUUGUGUGUUUAUCAUGGCCUCUCAUAUUGGAAGAUAACAUUAAUGGCUUGUGUGUUGAUCGACGGUUGUGCAUAUCUCUUGGUCAGGAAAGUUGUCGGCACCAUCGCCAUUGUAAAUCAUUUGACAGGCCCGAGUGAACGGGGCGACCUAUGAUUGGUCAGCAAUGUAUCAGAUUCCAUACCGGGGGGUGGGGAUGAAAAAACUGUUGUAGUGUUACAUAAUCAGAUUAUUUCAACUUACUUAUCCUGUGGAAAUACAGCUAUAUAGGAGAUAUUUUGAAAUUCAUAGGCACUGCAUGUUUCAACAUUUUAGAUUGACCACAAUCUGGCACUUGAAACUAUGUUAACAGAGAAAAACUGUGUGGUUUUCGAUGAAAGUGUUAAAAGUCUAAUAUUGCAUCAUGAUUACUGUUUUAAAGUAUUUUCGUGUUUGAUUUAUAUUGAAUUCAUCUCAUCUUUUUGAAGAAUGCAUUUAUGUUCAAUAAUAAAAAUGUUCUGUGGAAUUCAAAAUUCAUGUGCUUUUAAAUUAUCAGAUUCCAAACUGGGGGGUAGGGAUCAAAAAGCUGUUGUAGUGUUACAUAAUCAGAUUAUUUCAACUUACUUAUCCUAUGGAAAUACAGCUAUAUAGGAGAUAUUUUAAAAUUGAUAGGCACUGCAUGUUUCAACAUUUAGAUUUGACCACAAUUUGGCACUUGAAACUACGUUAACAGAGAAAAACUGUGUGGUUUUCGAUGAAAGUGUUAAAAAGUCUAAUAUUGCAUUAUGAUUACUGUUUUAA
Long non-coding RNA from Patella vulgata (common limpet), 1772 nucleotides. RefSeq lists it as uncharacterized. The transcript is spliced from 4 exons. Lineage: Eukaryota; Metazoa; Mollusca; Gastropoda; Patellidae. The record is from RefSeq and is a predicted model, not a curated record.